AGUUUAGCUAUGGCUCCGCUUCCAGCCCGAGGGCGGGAUGUCGGUGGAGUAGAGGUCGGUGUCGGUGUCGGCCAGCAGCACGGCCUUCAUCCCCCGCGAGCUCAGCACCUGUUGGCAGAAGCGGCAGCACAGCACGGUCACGCUCCGGUCUGCGAAAGUACAGCCGUUGCCCGACAUCGCGGGCGGCCGCCGCUGGGCCCCGCCGCUCCUGUCCGGG
RNAcentral lists this long non-coding RNA (217 nucleotides) under Gallus gallus (chicken). The record is from RNAcentral. Lineage: Eukaryota; Metazoa; Chordata; Aves; Galliformes; Phasianidae.